Molecule: ribosomal RNA, 484 nt
Filed under: uncultured bacterium
Lineage: Bacteria
Description: partial 16S ribosomal RNA
Rfam family: Bacterial small subunit ribosomal RNA
Source: RNAcentral
AUUGAACGCUGGCGGCAUGCUUUACACAUGCAAGUCGAACGGCAGCGCGGGCUUCGGCCUGGCGGCGAGUGGCGCACGGGUGAGUAAUGCAUCGGAACGUGCCCAGUAGUGGGGGAUAGCCCGGCGAAAGCCGGAUUAAUACCGCAUACGACCUGAGGGUGCAAGCGGGGGACCGAAAGGCCUCGCGCUAUUGGAGCGGCCGAUGUCGGAUUAGCUAGUUGGUGGGGUAAAGGCUUACCAAGGCGACGAUCCGUAGCUGGUCUGAGAGGGCGACCAGCCACACGGGGACUGAGACACGGCCCAGACUCCUACGGGAGGCAGCAGUGGGGAAUUGUGGACAAUGGGGGCAACCCUGAUCCAGCCAUGCCGCGUGCGGGAAGAAGGCCUUCGGGUUGUAAACCGCUUUUGUGCGGGAAGAAAUCCUCUGGGCUAAUACCCCGGGGGGAUGACGGUACCGGAAGAAUAAGCACCGGCUAACUACGUG